UUGGUGCAUUUUUGGAGGCAUUUCAAUAAAUCCUUUUUCUUCCGUUUCAGCAGGGGCUCAUUGAAACAGCUACAUUUUCCAAGUGCAGGCAGACAGCCAAUAGCAUCUAAAUUAUUUUUAAGAAAGCACUUAUAGCACUAAGCACUCACUACUACUAAAUCCAUCUUAGAGGAGAAGGGUGGAGUAAGAAGAAAGGUCAACAAAUGUAUCAAGUUCUUUGUGUAAUGCCUCACUGACAUUUUCCAACUCCCUCAGCUGGCUUUUAUUUUUUUAUUUUUUAUUUCUCAGAAUCCUGGUAAAAUGCAGUAAAGGAUUUAAGGUUAUCAUCUGUCUCUCUCUAACUUCUGACAUCUCUUUAUAACAAGAAAGAGUCACAGCCAACUGUAACAGGAGGGCAACACAAUGAAUCCUGAAGAGGACAGACCUCGUCAUCUGGAGAUGAGGGAGUCACAGCCUUCCAGGAAUCCUCUUCCAAUGUUUCACCACCUUCAUGAUGCAGUGAUUCUUGGAGGGAAAACACAUACACAUGGAUAUAUUCACUGUGGGUGUUUUAUGAGAACAUGGAGCUGCGUGUCACAGUACUUUUUUCCAUGGGUCAAGGGAGACUGUUCUAACACUCCCAGCUUCUGUUGCCCAGGUGCCUUCUGCUGUAGAAAUCCUUUGUUACCAUGGAGGGCCAGUCACACAGUGCUGACUGGAUUAUGUGCUGCCUAGUAUGUCCACAAGUAUUUGGGAAUACAGCAAGAAAAAGAGAAUAACAAAGCCUUAGUGGUUUGCUUUCCCUGACAGUCAGUGUACUAAGUUGGAAGAAACUGCAAAACCCCUGAGUUAUUUUGCUCAGCAGUCCAGCAUUCAGGGAAACCCAGAGCACAGGGGCAGUUGCUGCCAGUGCACGCCAUUCCCUCCCUCCCCAGACUGGCUUUCUGGCCAAAGUUAAUGAUUCAUAAGAUUCUGCACUGAUUUCACUGUGAGCUUCCACAUUUGCAUAAGUAAAAGCUUCUGCAGCUUCUGUAGGGAGAUUCUUAGUGAAAUUGCAGCACAAAACAUUGAUAUUAUGUAAUUAUGGUAGUUCAUCUUAACUUAAAUGAAAUUGUUACUUUAAACUUGCUCUAAGUGGCUCACAAUGUAACUUUUGUAUGACACACCUACAAAACAAAUGAGUUAAUCACAAUAUGUGUCAUUUUUAAUUUUUCUCUUUCAUUUUUCUUUCAGUCAUUCUGUCUUUGUAAUUAGCAUGAAGAC
Prinia subflava (tawny-flanked prinia) is the source of this 1242-nucleotide long non-coding RNA. RefSeq lists it as uncharacterized. The record is from RefSeq and is a predicted model, not a curated record. NCBI's taxonomy places the organism in Eukaryota, Metazoa, Chordata, Aves, Passeriformes, Cisticolidae. The transcript is spliced from 4 exons.